Molecule: ribosomal RNA, 457 nt
Filed under: uncultured bacterium
Lineage: Bacteria
Description: partial 16S ribosomal RNA
Rfam family: Bacterial small subunit ribosomal RNA
Source: RNAcentral
CCUACGGGUGGCAGCAGUGGGGAAUAUUGCACAAUGGGGGAAACCCUGAUGCAGCGACGCCGCGUGAGUGAAGAAGUAUUUCGGUAUGUAAAGCUCUAUCAGCAGGGAAGAAACCCACCCUCCGGGGUGGCUGACGGUACCUGACUAAGAAGCCACGGCUAACUACGUGCCAGCAGCCGCGGUCAUACGUAGGGGGGAAGCGUUCUCCGGAUUUACUGGGGGGAAAGGGGGCGUAGGUGGCAAGGCAAGUAAGAGGGUAAAACCCCGGGCCCAACCCCGGGCGUGCAUUUGAAACUGUCUGGCUAGAGUGCAGGAGAGGUAAGUGGAAUGCCUGGUGUAGCGGUGAAAUGCAUAGAUAUUAGGAGGAACACCAGUGGCGAAGGCGGCUUACUGGACUGUAACUGACACUGAGGCUCGAAAGCGUGGGGAGCAAACAGGAUUAGAUACCCCUGUAGUC